Molecule: ribosomal RNA, 274 nt
Filed under: uncultured bacterium
Lineage: Bacteria
Description: partial 16S ribosomal RNA
Rfam family: Bacterial small subunit ribosomal RNA
Source: RNAcentral
GGGGAAUAUUGCACAAUGGGCGCAAGCCUGAUGCAGCCAUGCCGCGUGUGUGAAGAAGGCCUUCGGGUUGUAAAGCACUUUCAGCGAGGAGGAAGGGUAGUGUGUUAAUAGCACAUUGCAUUGACGUUACUCGCAGAAGAAGCACCGGCUAACUCCGUGCCAGCAGCCGCGGUAAUACGGAGGGUGCAAGCGUUAAUCGGAAUUACUGGGCGUAAAGCGCACGCAGGCGGUUUGUUAAGUCAGAUGUGAAAUCCCCGCGCUUAACGUGGGAACU